GGGUAACCGUCGACCCCAAGAGAGUCGGAUAACACUGGAAACAGAUGCUAAUACCGGAUAACAACAGAUGAUGCCUAUCAACUGUUUAAAAGGUGGUUCUGCUAUCACUCUUGGAUGGACCUGCGGUGCAUUAGCUAGUUGGUAGGGUAACGGCCUGCCAAGGCGAUGAUGCAUAGCCAGUUGAGAGACCGAUCGGCCACAUUGGGACUGAGACACGGCCCAAACUCCUACGGGAGGCAGCAGUA
RNAcentral lists this ribosomal RNA (245 nucleotides) under uncultured Lactobacillus sp. RNAcentral describes it as "partial 16S ribosomal RNA". It matches the Rfam family "Bacterial small subunit ribosomal RNA", at positions 119 to 355 of the family's 1533-position model. Lineage: Bacteria; Bacillati; Bacillota; Bacilli; Lactobacillales; Lactobacillaceae. The record is from RNAcentral.